GGUAUAGAGAGCUUGCUUUCUAGAGACCGGCGCACGGGUGCGUAACGCGUAUGCAAUCUACCUUUCACAGAGGGAUAGCCCAGAGAAAUUUGGAUUAAUACCUCAUAGUAUUAUAGAAUGGCAUCAUUUUAUAAUUAAAGAUUUAUCGGUGAAAGAUGAGCAUGCGUCCCAUUAGUUAGUUGGUAAGGUAACGGCUUACCAAGACUACGAUGGGUAGGGGUCCUGAGAGGGAGAUCCCCCACACUGGUACUGAGACACGGACCAGACUCCUACGGGAGGCAGCAGUGAGGAAUAUUGGACAAUGGGCGCAAGCCUGAUCCAGCCAUGCCGCGUGCAGGAUGACGGUCCUAUGGAUUGUAAACUGCUUUUAUACAGGAAGAAACCCUCCGACGUGUCGGAGCUUGACGGUACUGUAAGAAUAAGGAUCGGCUAACUCCGUGCCAGCAGCCGCGGUAAUACGGAGGAUCCAAGCGUUAUCCGGAAUCAUUGGGUUUAAAGGGUCCGUAGGCGGUCAGAUAAGUCAGUGGUGAAAGCCCAUCGCUCAACGGUGGAACGGCCAUUGAUACUGUCUGACUUGAAUUAUUAGGAAGUAACUAGAAUAUGUAGUGUAGCGGUGAAAUGCUUAGAGAUUACAUGGAAUACCAAUUGCGAAGGCAGGUUACUACUAAUGGAUUGACGCUGAUGGACGAAAGCGUGGGUAGCGAACAGGAUUAGAUACCCUGGCAGUCCACGCCGUAAACGAUGGAUACUAGCCGUUGGGAGCAAUCUCAGUGGCUAAGCGAAAGUGAUAAGUAUCCCACCUGGGGAGUACGUUCGCAAGAAUGAAACUCAAAGGAAUUGACG
RNAcentral lists this ribosomal RNA (843 nucleotides) under uncultured bacterium. Its description in RNAcentral is "bacterial SSU rRNA". It matches the Rfam family "Bacterial small subunit ribosomal RNA", at positions 67 to 915 of the family's 1533-position model. The record is from RNAcentral.